Molecule: transfer RNA, 72 nt
Filed under: Bos taurus (domestic cattle)
Lineage: Eukaryota; Metazoa; Chordata; Mammalia; Artiodactyla; Bovidae
Also listed under: 4 other names
Rfam family: tRNA
About the family: Transfer RNA (tRNA) molecules are approximately 80 nucleotides in length. Their secondary structure includes four short double-helical elements and three loops (D, anti-codon, and T loops).
Source: Rfam by way of RNAcentral
UCCCUGAUAGCUCAGUUGGUAAAGAAUCUGCCUGCGAUGCAGGAGACCCUGGUUUGAUUCCUGGGUUGGGAA